This is a long non-coding RNA of Oncorhynchus tshawytscha (Chinook salmon), 307 nucleotides long. NCBI's taxonomy places the organism in Eukaryota, Metazoa, Chordata, Actinopteri, Salmoniformes, Salmonidae. The record is from Ensembl.
GAGACAUCUAUCAGUUAGGAGGGAGACAUCUAUCAGUUAGGAGGGAGACAUCUAUCAGUUAGGAGGGAGACAUCUAUCAGUUAGGAGGGAGACAUCUAUCAGUUAGGAGGUAGACAUCUAUCAGUUAGGAGGGAGACAUCUAUCAGUUAGGAGGGAGACAUCUAUCAGUUAGGAGGGAGACAUCUAUCAGUUAGGAGGGAGACAUCUAUCAGUUAGGAGGGAGACAUCUGUCAGUUAGGAGGGAGACAUCUAUCAGUUAGGAGGGAGACAUCUAUCAGUUAGGAGGUAGACAUCUAUCAGUUAGGAG